Molecule: ribosomal RNA, 559 nt
Filed under: uncultured bacterium
Lineage: Bacteria
Description: bacterial SSU rRNA
Rfam family: Bacterial small subunit ribosomal RNA
Source: RNAcentral
AGAUUGAACGCUGGCGGCAUGCCUUACACAUGCAAGUCGAACGGUAACGCGGGGCAACCUGGCGACGAGUGGCGAACGGGUGAGUAAUAUAUCGGAACGUGCCCAGUAGUGGGGGAUAGCCCGGCGAAAGCCGGAUUAAUACCGCAUGAGACCUGAGGGUGAAAGCGGGGGAUCGCAAGACCUCGCGCUAUUGGAGCGGCCGAUAUCAGAUUAGGUAGUUGGUGGGGUAAAAGCCUACCACGCCGACGAUCUGUAGCUGGUCUGAGAGGACGACCAGCCACACUGGGACUGAGACACGGCCCACACUCCUACGGGAGGCAGCAGUGGGGAAUUUUGGACAAUGGGCGCAAGCCUGAUCCAGCCAUGCCGCGUGCGGGAAGAAGGCCUUCGGGUUGUAAACCGCUUCUGUCACGGAAGAAAUCUUCUGGGCUAAUACCUCGGGAGGAUGACGGUACCUGAAGAAUAAUCACCGGCUAACUACGUGCCAGCAGCCGCGGUAAUACGUAGGGUGCGAGCGUUAAUCGUAAUUACUGGGCGUAAAGCGUGCGCAGGCGGUCUU